UACGUAGGGUCCGAGCGUUGUCCGGAAUUAUUGGGCGUAAAGAGCUCGUAGGCGGCUUGUCGCGUCGACUGUGAAAACCCGUGGCUCAACCAUGUGGUCUGCAGUCGAUACGGGCAGGCUAGAAUUCGGUAGGGGAGACUGGAAUUCCUGGUGUAGCGGUGAAAUGCGCAGAUAUCAGGAGGAACACCGGUGGCGAAGGCGGGUCUCUGGGCCGAUAUUGACGCUGAGGAGCGAAAGCGUGGGGAGCGAACAGG
Molecule: ribosomal RNA, 254 nt
Filed under: uncultured bacterium
Lineage: Bacteria
Description: partial 16S ribosomal RNA
Rfam family: Bacterial small subunit ribosomal RNA
Source: RNAcentral